UAAACAUUUCAUAAAGCAGUCACUGUCAGCCAGAUGAUUUUGCAGGAGAGAUGUUAACUUUACUCUUCUUCUGUUUGUUUUUAAUCACUGGGGGAGAUGGAAUUACAGUGAAACAGACCCCACAACGUACCUUCAGCAGAAUAGGGAACUCUGAAGUGAUAAAAUGUGUGCACGAUGAUGCAGCAUACUAUCAAAUGUACUUCUACCGACAGCUCCCAGAUGAAGGAAUCCGGUUAAUCGUGUACUCAGCUCAGGGCAGCGAACCACAGCAUGAACCUGGAUUCAGCAAGGAGAAAUAUGAAAUCAUUCAUAAUGUAGCAACUAAUGGAACUCUGACAAUCAAGAGCCUGGAAGCAUCAGACAGUGCAAUGUAUUUUUGCGCAGCAAGUAAACACAAUGACACAAUUAAACUUUGCUGUCAGCCAAAAAGCUUGCAAUCUUAA
Non-coding RNA from Polypterus senegalus (gray bichir), 443 nucleotides. NCBI's taxonomy places the organism in Eukaryota, Metazoa, Chordata, Cladistia, Polypteriformes, Polypteridae. The record is from the annotation of a RefSeq genome assembly.